Molecule: ribosomal RNA, 499 nt
Filed under: uncultured bacterium
Lineage: Bacteria
Description: bacterial SSU rRNA
Rfam family: Bacterial small subunit ribosomal RNA
Source: RNAcentral
GAUCAUGGCUCAGGGAUGAACGCUAGCGGCAGGCCUAAUACAUGCAAAGUCGAACGGCAGAUUUGGUAGCAAUACUAAAAUCCUAGAGUGGCGCACGGGUGAGUAACGCGUACAUGACAUACCUAUAAGCGAGGGAUAGCAUUGGGAAACUGGUAGUAACCCCUCAUGUGAUUAUUUGUAAUAAAGGUAAAUAAUUAAAACUACGGUGCUUAUAGAUUGGUGUGCGUCUGAUUAGCUAGUUGGCGAGGUAACGGCUCACCAAGGCGACGAUCAGUAGGGGCGUGAGAGCGUGAACCCCCACACGGGUACUGAGACACGGACCCGACUCCUACGGGAGGCAGCAGUAAGGAAUAUUGGUCAAUGGAGGGAACUCUGAACCAGCCAUGCCGCGUGCAGGAUGAAAGCCCUCUGGGUUGUAAACUGCUUUUAACAGGGAAGAAAAUGCUAUACGUGUGGGAGCUUGACGGUACUGUAGGAAUAAGGAUCGGCUAACUCCGUG